UGGCUCUGUUGGUAGAGCAUGGUGUUUGCAACGCCAGGGUUGUGGGUUCGAUUCCCAC
Salmo salar (Atlantic salmon) is the source of this 58-nucleotide non-coding RNA. The record is from Rfam. Lineage: Eukaryota; Metazoa; Chordata; Actinopteri; Salmoniformes; Salmonidae.